GAGCCUACGGGACGCAGCAGUGGGGGAUAUUGCACAAUGGGGGAAACCCUGAUGCAGCGACGCCGCGUGAGUGAAGAAGUAUUUCGGUAUGUAAAGCUCUAUCGGCAGGGAAGGAAAAAAUGACAGUACCUGACUAAGAAGCCCCGGCUAAAUACGUGCCAGCAGCCGCGGUAAUACGUAUGGUGCAAGCGUUAUCCGGAUUUACUGGGUGUAAAGGGAGCGCAGGCGGUGCGGCAAGUCUGAUGUGAAAGCCCGGGGCUCAACCCCGGG
RNAcentral lists this ribosomal RNA (270 nucleotides) under uncultured bacterium. Its description in RNAcentral is "partial 16S ribosomal RNA". It matches the Rfam family "Bacterial small subunit ribosomal RNA", at positions 334 to 619 of the family's 1533-position model. The record is from RNAcentral.